Molecule: long non-coding RNA, 767 nt
Organism: Stylophora pistillata
Lineage: Eukaryota; Metazoa; Cnidaria; Anthozoa; Scleractinia; Pocilloporidae
Source: RefSeq, a predicted model, not a curated record
AAACGCUUGCCAGCUACUUCAAGAUCGUGUCAUUUUUGGAGGAGGAGAAUCUGCUUCUCUUCAACUCUUCACUGAUGACCCUGAUGAGUCAGAUGAUAAUGAAGACGAAGAUGAAAAUGAUAUUCCCUAUGCUAUGAUGAGCGUUCAGGGGUUCUACUGUAAAGUUUGCAGGAGAGAUCUAGGAGACAGAGCGGCCUAUUUAAAUCACAUAGCAGGAGUGAAACAUCGCCAACAGCGUAUGCUCAAAAAGACUCGAAAAUCUUUGGCGAAACCAGAGCUUGUCUUUGACAAAAAUGGAAUAAAAGUUUCUUCAGAUCCCACAGGAGAGGAACAUGGUGUGAUAGAAUUGAAAGUGGAGAGUGGAAAAUACGGGCAGAUUGUGUUGAUUAUAGAGAACCUCAGUGAAAUGAUUAUUACACUGAAAUAAAUCACUCUACUAUGGAGUGUCAACUUCUUUGAUUACAAGGAAAUCUCCAAUAUCGGACCGUCCGAGGGUCAACUCUAUCCAGGUUGCCAGAAGAGGUUCAGGAUUGGCUGUAAACGUCGCCGUGAGUUCGGUUAUUCGUAUGUUCCUGGUGUACUUACAUUCCAGUCCGAAGAUUUGCCAGAGUUUCAUAUCCUGAGGUUUUUGUCGGUGCGUAUCGUAAGCGACUUGUACGAUGACUUAAAGAAAAUCUCGGAGUACACACCUCCCAAACAGGCACCAGAAAUUCCCAGGGAUGUCCAGACAAUUGAAGGAAUACCCCUUCCACGGUGAGGAUUUCAUU